GUGGUUGUGGCUCAGUGUUCGAUCACUUGCCUAGCAUGCAUGAGGCACUGGGUUCAAUUCUCAGUAACACA
Molecule: transfer RNA, 71 nt
Filed under: Marmota monax (woodchuck)
Lineage: Eukaryota; Metazoa; Chordata; Mammalia; Rodentia; Sciuridae
Description: tRNA.Ala
Source: RNAcentral